UGUUUCUUGGGGUGUAGGUGUGUUAAAACUGACCCGGAGCCGAUAAUCACAUACUCGGAGACUCUUCGCUUAUGCCAGUGUGCACAUCCGCCAGACGGAGAGCCUAAAUCAUAACAAGAGUCCCCACCUGAACCCUACGGUUCAGGGUCAAAUUUGACCACGGCGCCCUAGGUGCACU
This 178-nucleotide non-coding RNA is filed under the name Pseudomonadales bacterium. Its description in RNAcentral is "6S RNA". It matches the Rfam family "6S / SsrS RNA". From Rfam's summary of the family: E. coli 6S RNA was the first non coding RNA to be sequenced, but its function was unknown until recently. It consists of 184 nucleotides that fold into an extended hairpin structure with a large single-stranded internal bulge. Lineage: Bacteria; Pseudomonadati; Pseudomonadota; Gammaproteobacteria; Pseudomonadales. The record is from RNAcentral.